GAGCGAGAGCGAGAGCAGGAGCGAGAGCAGCGGCGGCGGCGGCGGCGGCGGCGGCGGCGGCGGCAGCGGCGGCGGCGUCCUCGCACGUUGGCACCGGUUUGUCUGUCUCGAAGGGUCCAAGCCUUUAAAUUUCCUGCACUUUCAGCUCCAUCACCAUGGAAACCACUGACUCUCUCUCUCUCUCUCUCUCUCUCUCUCUCUCUCUCUCUCUCUCUCUCUCUCUCUCUCUCUCUCUCUCUCUCUCUCUCUCUCUCUCUCUCUCUCUCUGUCUCUCUCUCUCCCUCUCUCUCUGUCUCUCUCUCUCCCUCUCUCUCCUUUCCCCCUCCCCUUUCUUCCCCCCAAACAACCCCACCCCCCACUUCACUUCUCCACCCCCGAGGAGCCAAAAGAACUGGAUACGGGCUCAGGGCAGACGCGGCUGAGGGUGAGCGGAGUUGUCAGACGCGGGGGAAAAAGGUGUGCAGAAAAGAGUAUAGAGAGGGAGGCAGAUUGCCACAGUUGAGAAGAAGCUGCGCGACAACGCUGAAAGUGGUGGUGGCGGCGGAGGCGGCGGCGGCGGCGGCGGUGGUGGCGCUUGGCAGGUCUCCGGGUACACAGGAAACAAAACAACCAAAGAAACCAACAAUUGGCUUUCCCACUCUCGGGCUGACAUGGAUCAGAACUUUCUGGUGUUGGACUGGUGACCCUUCCAGAUUAUUCAGCUUUUUGUGCAUGUACUGAAGCACAGCCCUGAAUCCUGAGCGUCUGUUACUUCCUCUUCUUUUUUUUAAUUCUAAAAAAUAUUUUAUUGUCAUGCAUAACACGAUUUCAUAUUGGUCAUUGUUGUAACAACAAACUCAUAUAUAACCAAAAUCUCAAAAUAAAACCAUAAAUGCACUGAUGUGUAAGAUGACU
Molecule: long non-coding RNA, 894 nt
Filed under: Monodelphis domestica (gray short-tailed opossum)
Lineage: Eukaryota; Metazoa; Chordata; Mammalia; Didelphimorphia; Didelphidae
Description: lncRNA (ENSMODG00000032095.2)
Source: RNAcentral